Molecule: ribosomal RNA, 450 nt
Filed under: uncultured bacterium
Lineage: Bacteria
Description: bacterial SSU rRNA
Rfam family: Bacterial small subunit ribosomal RNA
Source: RNAcentral
GUGGGGAAUAUUGGACAAUGGGCGAAAGCCUGAUCCAGCCAUGCCGCGUGUGUGAAGAAGGUCUUCGGAUUGUAAAGCACUUUAAGUUGGGAGGAAGGGCAGUAAGUUAAUACCUUGCUGUUUUGACGUUACCGACAGAAUAAGCACCGGCUAACUUCGUGCCAGCAGCCGCGGUAAUACGAAGGGUGCAAGCGUUAAUCGGAAUUACUGGGCGUAAAGCGCGCGUAGGUGGUUUUGUAAGUUGGAGGUGAAAUCCCCGGGCUCAACCUGGGAACUGCCUACAAAACUGCAUGACUAGAGUACGGUAGAGGGUAGUGGAAUUUCCUGUGUAGCGGUGAAAUGCGUAGAUAUAGGAAGGAACACCAGUGGCGAAGGCGACUACCUGGACUGAUACUGACACUGAGGUGCGAAAGCGUGGGGAGCAAACAGGAUUAGAUACCCGGGUAGUCC